UAAGUACCCCGAGGAAAAGAAAUCAACCGAGAUUCCCCCAGUAGCGGCGAGCGAACGGGGAGGAGCCCAGAGCCUGAAUCAGUGUGUGUGUUAGUGGAAGCGUCUGGAAAGGCGCGCGAUACAGGGUGACAGCCCCGUACACAAAAAUGCACAUACUGUGAGCUCGAUGAGUAGGGCGGGACACGUGGUAUCCUGUCUGAAUAUGGGGGGACCAUCCUCCAAGGCUAAAUACUCCUGACUGACCGAUAGUGAACCAGUACCGUGAGGGAAAGGCGAAAAGAACCCCGGCGAGGGGAGUGAAAAAGAACCUGAAACCGUGUACGUACAAGCAGUGGGAGCCUCUUAAUGGGGUGACUGCGUACCUUUUGUAUAAUGGGUCAGCGACUUAUAUUCUGUAGCAAGGUUAACCGAAUAGGGGAGCCGAAGGGAAACCGAGUCUUAACUGGGCGUUAAGUUGCAGGGUAUAGACCCGAAACCCGGUGAUCUAGCCAUGGGCAGGUUGAAGGUUGGGUAACACUAACUGGAGGACCGAACCGACUAAUGUUGAAAAAUUAGCGGAUGACUUGUGGCUGGGGGUGAAAGGCCAAUCAAACCGGGAGAUAGCUGGUUCUCCCCGAAAGCUAUUUAGGUAGCGCCUCGUGAAUUCAUCUCCGGGGGUAGAGCACUGUUUCGGCAAGGGGGUCAUCCCGACUUACCAACCCGAUGCAAACUGCGAAUACCGGAGAAUGUUAUCACGGGAGACACACGGCGGGUGCUAACGUCCGUCGUGAAGAGGGAAACAACCCAGACCGCCAGCUAAGGUCCCAAAGUCAUGGUUAAGUGGGAAACGAUGUGGGAAGGCCCAGACAGCCAGGAUGUUGGCUUAGAAGCAGCCAUCAUUUAAAGAAAGCGUAAUAGCUCACUGGUCGAGUCGGCCUGCGCGGAAGAUGUAACGGGGCUAAACCAUGCACCGAAGCUGCGGCAGCGACGCUUAUGCGUUGUUGGGUAGGGGAGCGUUCUGUAAGCCUGUGAAGGUGGCCUGUGAGGGUUGCUGGAGGUAUCAGAAGUGCGAAUGCUGACAUAAGUAACGAUAAAGCGGGUGAAAAGCCCGCUCGCCGGAAGACCAAGGGUUCCUGUCCAACGUUAAUCGGGGCAGGGUGAGUCGACCCCUAAGGCGAGGCCGAAAGGCGUAGUCGAUGGGAAACAGGUUAAUAUUCCUGUACUUGGUGUUACUGCGAAGGGGGGACGGAGAAGGCUAUGUUGGCCGGGCGACGGUUGUCCCGGUUUAAGCGUGUAGGCUGGUUUUCCAGGCAAAUCCGGAAAACCAAGGCUGAGGCGUGAUGACGAGGCACUACGGUGCUGAAGCGACAAAUGCCCUGCUUCCAGGAAAAGCCUCUAAGCAUCAGGUAACAUUAAAUCGUACCCCAAACCGACACAGGUGGUCAGGUAGAGAAUACCAAGGCGCUUGAGAGAACUCGGGUGAAGGAACUAGGCAAAAUGGUGCCGUAACUUCGGGAGAAGGCACGCUGAUAUGUAGGUGAAGCGACUUGCUCGUGGAGCUGAAAUCAGUCGAAGAUACCAGCUGGCUGCAACUGUUUAUUAAAAACACAGCACUGUGCAAACACGAAAGUGGACGUAUACGGUGUGACGCCUGCCCGGUGCCGGAAGGUUAAUUGAUGGGGUUAGCGGCAACGCGAAGCUCUUGAUCGAAGCCCCGGUAAACGGCGGCCGUAACUAUAACGGUCCUAAGGUAGCGAAAUUCCUUGUCGGGUAAGUUCCGACCUGCACGAAUGGCGUAAUGAUGGCCAGGCUGUCUCCACCCGAGACUCAGUGAAAUUGAACUCGCUGUGAAGAUGCAGUGUACCCGCGGCAAGACGGAAAGACCCCGUGAACCUUUACUAUAGCUUGACACUGAACAUUGAGCCUUGAUGUGUAGGAUAGGUGGGAGGCUUUGAAGUGUGGACGCCAGUCUGCAUGGAGCCGACCUUGAAAUACCACCCUUUAAUGUUUGAUGUUCUAACGUGGGCCCGUAAUCCGGGUUGCGGACAGUGUCUGGUGGGUAGUUUGACUGGGGCGGUCUCCUCCUAAAGAGUAACGGAGGAGCACGAAGGUUGGCUAAUCCUGGUCGGACAUCAGGAGGUUAGUGCAAUGGCAUAAGCCAGCUUGACUGCGAGCGUGACGGCGCGAGCAGGUGCGAAAGCAGGUCAUAGUGAUCCGGUGGUUCUGAAUGGAAGGGCCAUCGCUCAACGGAUAAAAGGUACUCCGGGGAUAACAGGCUGAUACCGCCCAAGAGUUCAUAUCGACGGCGGUGUUUGGCACCUCGAUGUCGGCUCAUCACAUCCUGGGGCUGAAGUAGGUCCCAAGGGUAUGGCUGUUCGCCAUUUAAAGUGGUACGCGAGCUGGGUUUAGAACGUCGUGAGACAGUUCGGUCCCUAUCUGCCGUGGGCGCUGGAGAACUGAGGGGGGCUGCUCCUAGUACGAGAGGACCGGAGUGGACGCAUCACUGGUGUUCGGGUUGUCAUGCCAAUGGCACUGCCCGGUAGCUAAAUGCGGAAGAGAUAAGUGCUGAAAGCAUCUAAGCACGAAACUUGCCCCGAGAUGAGUUCUCCCUGACCCUUUAAGGGUCCUGAAGGAACGUUGAAGACGACGACGUUGAUAGGCCGGGUGUGUAAGCGCAGCGAUGCGUUGAGCUAACCGGUACUAAUGAACCGUGAGGCUUAACCUUACAACGCCGAAG
This 2716-nucleotide ribosomal RNA is filed under the name Escherichia coli. Its description in RNAcentral is "partial 23S ribosomal RNA". It matches the Rfam family "Bacterial large subunit ribosomal RNA". Lineage: Bacteria; Pseudomonadati; Pseudomonadota; Gammaproteobacteria; Enterobacterales; Enterobacteriaceae. The record is from RNAcentral.